CUGCCAUUGCCGUGUGCAGGGGCAUACUGUGGCGGCAGACCUUCACACUGAACCGCUGCACGCUGUACAAGGAGAACUAGACUGGAGCGACGCUGCUAGAAAAUUACCUUGUGAAAGGAAAAUCCUGUUUACACAUUGCGUUCUUUCUAGCACAGUUACACAGAAGGUGCAUAGUAAAGUUCUAGGUAUAACAUGGGUAACUCGGCGAAUAAAGAAGCGUUGUUGCAAGAAGACAGGACGCCGUACAAGAACCUUGACGAUGAAAGCAAAGAGGACAAGAAGAGAAUAAGCAGCACAAAACAUAAAUCCAUGGAGAUGGAACUCUUGGGCAAUGGCAGCAC
Molecule: unclassified non-coding RNA, 341 nt
Filed under: Lingula anatina
Lineage: Eukaryota; Metazoa; Brachiopoda; Lingulata; Lingulida; Lingulidae
Description: uncharacterized LOC112041745, transcript variant X6
Source: RNAcentral